CAAAGGAUGCCAAUCCCUAUAAAAGGACACUUUGAAAAUGCUAAGUUGGGUGAGUCUCUUUCUCUACUGCUGUUUAAUCGGAGCACAGAUGCAUCUGUUCACCCCACUCCAGCUGUUAUCUUCAAAUCUGCUACCUCCAAAUCAUCACCAUCUACUCAAUAAGCCUGGGUUGGCCACCCUGGGCUGAUAUUGAGCAACUAUUGUUGAUAUGAUCCUGAACCAAACAUCUGGAUCCAGAAUGAAUAAAAGGCUUCUGGGAUUCACAUUUCCACUGGUCUAGGGUAAGAACUGGGAAUAGACUGCACCUCUCCCAAUUGCCACACAUCUUUAGAUGGUCUCCAAUCAGAAGCAUCUCUUCAGAGAGCAGAUGAGGCAAGUAAGCAAACAACAAAGGAAUGAGAUAUGAAGGAAGAAGAUAUGGAUGAAAAAUUACAAAUGCUACGUAUGCAACUGCCUGUCAUCUGCUACUUUGGGUGUGUUCAGACAUCCUGUCAGAAAGGUGUUCUAACUAUGGCACUUUACACAAAAUGCUAUGAGUUAAAGGGGCAUUGAACCCAACAGGCCUGUUAGGCCUAACUUAGAUUGGUCACUUCAUUUUUUGGGGUAAUUUAAGCACUGUGAAUGUCUGCACACCCAGGCAUUUAGAUCCACCUAACCUUGGUGUAGUUACACUAGUGCACACAAAGGCUAGGGACAGACUUUCAAAAAACCUGAGCCUGAUUUGAUUCAAUCUUUGCAGUUUAAUCUAUCCUGGCUAGGCUGAACUGGUUGGUAACUGGAGAUGCUUUCUCUCUGGAUUGAGGAAAUUCAGGCACAUGGCUGCAGUGGCUCAGGUUAGAAGCUGGGGGGCACUAGAGUAGCCCUCCCUUCCCUUGCACCAUGCUGAGAUGAAGGGGAUGCAGCCAGGCCCCAGCAGGAUGCUUUCACUAGGGAGGUCUGCCUGCAACAUCCCAAGUUUUUCUCUGCUGGCUGUUCAAGGGUCAGGUGUGUUGCCAGCCCCCAGCCCAUGGCUAGCACUCUGAGGUAAGGGGGGGAGAGGUGGUGCAGUGCAUUCAUCUGUUGAUGAUACAAAGAUUUCCAAUAUCCUGCCAUGCUCCUUUAUACUGUCUGCAGCAAACUGAGGUGAGCAAGCCAGCAAGGUGAGGUGUUUAUCACUUAAUCAGCAAAACAGUAGCCUCUCUCCAUUAGUUCAAACUCUUCUUAAACAGCUUAGCAGCUGAAUGGGGCUUGGGUCUGU
Alligator mississippiensis (American alligator) is the source of this 1237-nucleotide long non-coding RNA. RefSeq lists it as uncharacterized. The record is from RefSeq and is a predicted model, not a curated record. NCBI's taxonomy places the organism in Eukaryota, Metazoa, Chordata, Crocodylia, Alligatoridae. The transcript has 3 exons.